This 26-nucleotide non-coding RNA is filed under the name Mus musculus (house mouse). The record is from RNAcentral. Lineage: Eukaryota; Metazoa; Chordata; Mammalia; Rodentia; Muridae.
UGAGAGAGCCAAGUGUCUGCCGGUGU